UCCUAAACCAGAUAUCAGUAUAACACAGGUGUCAACGUCCAGCAUUUAUCAUUGUCUGCAAUCCCUACUUGGAUUCCUCAACAAUAUCAGACUAAUUACUUAUCAUUCUUUUAUUGUAAGCAUGCUUUUGGAGGACAUAAUUAGAGAACCCUUUGAAUUCAUAGUGCUUUCACAUCGUUUAUCUUCCAUCACAAUCAUAUAUAAUAAGUUCUGUUUCUUUGUAUGAAACUUAUGUGAUAAAUAAUUCCACAUAAAUACAUAAUCAAGCCUCAGAUUAUAGCCCCUUACUAGAGAUAUCAACAUUGAUUUGUGAUAAUUUUAAAAAUAAAAGCAUAAAGCAAGCAGGAAAGAGAAAAGACAGGAAGUGAAGUGACAGAUUGGUUAUAGGAGCAGAAGCUGUUGCAGCCUCUGGGAGGAAAAUAAAAAUAAAGAAAAAGGGGAGAUAGAUGCAUGUGUCGCACCUGUGCUCAUACCCAUAACCAUAUCUCGGACUCCUACUGUGUUAGGAAGGAGGAAGAAGUGGAAUAAAAGAACAAAAGCAAGUAGUAAGUGAUAAAAUGAUUCUAGCACAAGCAGUUUGUAGUUGCUGGGACAGAAGACAAAGGUAAAUGCAUUAGACAAACCUGC
RNAcentral lists this unclassified non-coding RNA (627 nucleotides) under Hevea brasiliensis (rubber tree). Lineage: Eukaryota; Viridiplantae; Streptophyta; Magnoliopsida; Malpighiales; Euphorbiaceae. The record is from RNAcentral.